AUAUCAGAGCGGUAAGACCUCUGUGGGUUCCUCUGGUGUUCCCUUCCGUAGGUUGGCAAAGCCAGAGGGCACGCACCCACAGGGCACGCUCUUUUU
Molecule: non-coding RNA, 96 nt
Filed under: unclassified sequences
Description: DUF3800-V RNA
Rfam family: DUF3800-V RNA
Source: Rfam by way of RNAcentral